RNAcentral lists this long non-coding RNA (6937 nucleotides) under Nicotiana benthamiana. Its description in RNAcentral is "long non-coding RNA (NBEN_LNC005904)". Lineage: Eukaryota; Viridiplantae; Streptophyta; Magnoliopsida; Solanales; Solanaceae. The record is from RNAcentral.
UACUAACAACAAUAAGUUCGAAAACAUUAAUGGAAUCAUUAGACAAUUAAAGAAAACUGUUUGAAACAUAAUAAAUUCCCAAAGUGAUACAAAUCAGCCUAAAACCAGGGUGUCACUGAGUAUAUGAUCGUCUAGAUAAGUGAAUAUAGUCUACUACAGCAUCUGAAGAUAUUAACUGAAAGUAUGACAAAGACAAAGAAGUAGGGUCAAGUCCAGUGAACGCCAUGCAGCUACCUCGACAAUAUCCAACUCUGGAACCCGGAUUAACAAUCGCCGCCACGACCGGUAUCGCCUGGAUAUGCACACGAGGUUUAGGAGUAACGUGGUUGCGCCAACUCAGUAAGUAACAAGUGCAAACUUGGGAUUGAUAGGUAGUGAUAAACUCAAUCUCAACAGGUAAAAACAGAAGUAAAUGUGCAGAAAUGUAGGCAUGCUUUCAAGUCAAGUAUACAGCUCAAGCAGUAAAUUAAAUAUAUGUCUGAACGGUGUAAGGUAUACACAUCAUCUUAUCUCUACAUGCCAAUGCACAUAAUGAAUGAAAUGCACCAUGUGCUUCCACUCUCAAGUUCUCAACCACUCGGUACUGUAUAUGGCUAUACGGCCCAGGGAAAUCCAUCUCGAUAACAUGUACAACACUAACGGUAUGUCAUCCAGUACUGGGGACAAGGGCAAUCCAACCCUGUGUAGAAAUCCAUCUCUAGGUAUCAAGUACUUCGGACAAAUCAAUGUCCAGGGAAAUCCAUCCCUCAAUAAUAUCAUCCGUGCUCACUGGUGUGUGUUACAGACUCCAGAGGGGCUCCUGCAGCGUGCAGUCAGAUCCUAUACUGCCACUCAUAGCUAGGCCCUCGACCUCACUCAGUCAUCAAACUCUACAGUCUCACCACAGGUUCACAAUGUCAUGAAAACAACCCAGAACGAUAAUAUGAUGAAUCAAUAAAUAACUAAGACUAAGAUAUGAUAUAAAAAUGCAUGAUUAUGAUUGAGUAUGGAAUAUUAUAUGGAAACUAGUGAGAUGACAGCAAUAAACAAUCGCUAAAGGUCCAAUUAAUAUUGGUGCAACGCCUAAACAUGGUAUCUAGCAUGAUUUAUAGAUCAAGUACUCUAUCAUACGAUGAAAACAUGGAUACCAACAAGAAAAAGUCACUAAACGGUGCCAUGGAGUCACCUAGGUCACAAUUCUCACGGUGCACGCCCGCAUGCAGGUCACUUCGCACGAGUAUCACCUCAAUACUAAUCACAUAAAACAUAGUUCAGGGUAUCGAACCCUCAAAACCAUGUUUUGAAAGUGUUACAUACCUCAAACCAAGCCAAAAUCCUACUUUGCGAUGUCUUUACCUCUCAGAUCAACCUGCAAAGUCAUGAAUCUAGCCACAAGCAAUAAAUACGAUCAAUAUAGGCUAAAGGAACCAAUUCCACAAGAAAAAUACCAAAUUUCCCCAACAAUCCGAAAUUGGCCCAAACUCGGGCCCCGGACCCAUGUCUUAGAAUCUGACAAAAGUCACAGAACUCGGAAGCCAAUUCACUCACGAGUCUAGCCAAAUCUGACCUUAUUUGGUAACUCAAAUCCCAAAAAUCCACUCUCCAACUCUUAAGUCCUAAACCCCCAAAUUUCUUGCUAAACUCCCUAAUAAGAUGAUGAAUAAAACCAUGGAUUCAUGAAAUUUAUACCAUUAUGGGUUAGAAUCACUUACCCCAACGUUUCUCCUUGAAAACCUUCGAAGAAUUGCUCUAUCUCGAGUUUCUCAAAUCCCUCAAGCUAGAAUUUUCUAUCCAGGCAAAAGUCGCACCUCCAGUCCUAGUUCCGCACCUACAAAAUCACAUAUGUAAACAGGGCUCCGCUUCUACAGAAAUUCAUUAAAAGACUGGCUCUGCUCCUUUGAUCACCUGACUGCAUCUGCGAUCAUUUCAGAUGUGGGAACCAAGCUGCACCUGCGAUCUAACUGCGCAUCUGUGCCUCUCAACCUGCUUCUGUGACCACCACAGAUGGGGGAUUUACAUUGCACUUGCGUUCUCAUCCAAGGAUUUCCUUAGCCGCACCUCCUACACUUCCUUAGCUCCUCCGGCCUCGCACCUUCGGUUCCCACUCCACAAGUGUAGAAACAGCAGUAGCAAUAUCUUCAACUACAUUUUCCAGGAUUCCAUUAGGACCCCCGAUAUAAAAAAUUUCCAAUACUGGCCAAGAUCGCCAAAAUUUUAACAUACGCCAAUUCAAACCUAAUUCUACCACGGGUAUCCAAAUCAUAUUUCAAAAAGCUCUCAUAAGUCCAAUAUCACCCAAUGAAGCUAACGAAACCAUCAAAAUUCAAAUCCGAGGUCAUUUACAUAUAAGUCAACUUUCGGUCAGCUUUUCCAACUUAAGCUUCCAAUUAAGAGACUAUGUGUCUCAGUUCACUCCGAGCCCGAACCAACUAACCUGGUAGAUCAUAAUAUAGAUGAAGAACACAAAAGAAGCAGGAAAUAGGGAACUGGGCUAUAACUCUCAAAAUGACCAAUCGUGUCGUUAUAUCCUCCCCCUCUUAAACAAACAUUCGUCCUCGAACGGAUUUAGAAACAUACUUGAACCCUCAAAGAGGUGUGGUUAUCUGCUCCGUAUCUCCCGCUCGGUCUCCUAAUAGCCUCCUGCACGGCCUAACCUCUCCACUGCACCUUCACUGAAGUUAUAUCUUUUUACCUUAAUUUUUGAACCUGAUGUGCCAAAAUAGCUACCGGCUCCACAUCAUAGGUCAAUUCACUAUCCAACUGAACCGUGCUGAAAGCCAGAACAUGAGAUGGAUCAUCGAUAUAGGUGUGAAGUAUAGAAACAUGAAAUACUGGAUGCACACUCAAUAAGCUAGUGUCAAAGAAAGUUCAUAUGCCACCUCCCAAUCCUCUGAAACACUUCAAACGGAGCAAUAAACCUAGGGCUCAACUUGCCUUUCUUUCCAAAUCUCAUAACACCCUUUAUGGCGAAACCUUCAGCAAGACCUUCUCUCCAACCAUGUAAGACACAUCACAGACCUUUCUAUCAGUAUAACUCUUUUGUCUCGAUUGCAUCGUGUGAAGCUGCUGUUGAGUCAAUUUCACCUUUUCCAAUGCAUCCUAAGCCAAGUCUUCACCCAAAAGCCCAGCCUCAACCGGAAUGAACAAACCCACUGGAGAUCUACACCGCCUCCCAUAUAAAGCCUCAUAUGGAGAAAUCUGAACACUCGACUGAUAAUUGUUGUUGUAAACAAACUCCACGAGUGGAAGAAACUAGUCCCAUGAAUCCCCUAAAUUAAUAACACAAACGCAUAGCAUGUAUUCCAAUAUCUGAAUAGUGCGCUGGGACUGUUCGUUUGUCUGCAUGUGAAAUGUUGUGCUCAACCCAACCUGAGUGCCCAUCUCUCACUACACGGCCCUCCGAAAUGAAGGAAAUUGGAACCCCAUUAAGCGAAUAAUCUCUCUGAUGUAAAUAUCAGCUAACCACUCCAAAGAAUAAGUAGUACUCACGGGAAUGAAGUGCGCGGACUUGGUCAUCCAAUCCACAAUCAUCCAAAUAGCAUCAAACUUCCUCGAAGUUCGUGGGGGCCUAACUACGAGAUCUAUGGCGAUCCACUCCCACUUCCACUCUGGAAUAUCUAUCUUCUGAAGCAAGCCACCCGGACUCAAAUGCUCAUAUUUUACCUGCUGACAGUUCAGACAUCGAGCUACAAACCCAACUAUAUCUUUCUUCAUUCUCCUCCACCAAUACUAUUGUCUCGAAUCCUGAUACAUCUUCGCGGCACCCGGAUGGGUGAAAUACCGCGAAUUAUGGGCCUCCUCAAGAAUCAACUCCCGUAGCCCAUCCACAUUGGGUACACAUAUCCGGCCCUGCAUCCUUAAUACCCUAUCAUCACGAAUAGUCACAUCUCUGGCAUCACCGUGCUAAACCUUUUCCUUGAGGACAAGCAAAUGAGGAUCAUCAUACUAGUGCUCUUCGAUGCGAUCGAAUAAAGAAGAACGAGAAACCACAAAAGAUAGGACCCGAUUGGGCUCCGAGAUAUCCAAUAUCACAAACCGAUUGGCUAAGGCUUGAACAUCAACUGCAAGGGGUCUCUCGCCAGUAGGAAGGAAUGCAAGACUACCCAUACUCACUGCCUUUCUACUCAAGGCAUCGGCCACCACAUUAGUUUUUCCUAGAUGGUAACAAAUGGUAAUAACAUAGUCCUUUUGCUGUUCAAACCAUCUCCGUUUCCUCAAAUUGAGAUCCUUUUGCUUGAACAAGUGCUGGAGGCUACGAUGAUCAAUAAACACCUCACAAGACACACAAUAGUGAUAGUUCCUCCAAAUCUUCAACGCGUGAACAAUGGAUGCCCACUCCAAAUCAUGAGCAAGAUACUUCUUCUCACGGGGCUUCAAUUGACGUGAAACAUACGCAAUAACUCUACCCUCUUAUAACAAAACACACCCAACGCCAAUCAGAGAAGCAUAUUAAUAUACAAUAUAAGAACUAGAAGCUGAUGGAAGAACUAACACUGGAGUUGUGGUCAAGGUAGUCUGAAGCUUCUGAAAGCUCGCCUCACACUCAUCCAACCAACUAAAAGGAGCACUCUUUUGGGUCAAUUUGGUCAAGGGCGAUGCAGUAGACAAAAAACCCUGAACGAACCGAUGGUAGUAACCAUCAAAACCAAGUAAGCUCUGAAUCUCUAUGGCUAAGAACGAUCUGGGCUAACUCUGAACCGCCUCUAUCUUCUUCGGAUCAACAUGAAUACCAUCGCUGGACACGAAAUGUCCCAAGAACGCCACUAAACUAAGCCAACACUCACACUUGGAGAACUUGGCAUAAUGCUUCUCCUCCCUCAGUGCUGCAAUACAACCUGUCACACAUCCCUUUUUACUACAUCCCCGGAAAGGGGUAUAUAAGGUAGUUGUUCCAAUUAAAGAAAAAUCGAAAUGGGAUUAUUUGUUUAUUUAUAAUUCAGAGUCGCCACUUGGGAUAAUUGAUGGUGUCCCAAGUCACCGGUUCAAAUCUCGAAUCGAGAAAAAGAUUAAAACUAUUUUAUAGUUCGCGAACCAGAAAUCAGGGUAAGGAAUUUUGUUAACCCGAGGGAAGGUGUUAGGCAUUCCCGAGUUCCGUGGUUCUAGCACAAUCACUCAACUAUUAUAAUUGGCCUAUUUUAUGACUUUAGAACAUUUUGGACCUAUGUGCAUUUAAAUUUUAAACCGCUUUUAUUCAAUUAAUUAAAGGAAGAUUGCAGUAUCAUUUAAAAUAUGUUUCGAACCACGUCACAUAAAUGCACCCGCAGUCCAUAGCCCACUUUAUCUAACGUUGAGAUUUGGAUUUGGGAUACAUAAGUGUGCACCCGAAUUCAAGAAGUUACAUUAUUAAAUAACACGCCUAAAAGAAACUACGAGUUGUUAACUUUGUGAGGGCCAUGGAAAUUUGCUAAAUGGAAUGCCUCAAGUUCUAGGAUUUGAACAAAUUAAUUAAAUGAGGUCCAUGCAAUUGUCAUUUUUGUUUGGCAUGAUGCACCCCAAUUUCGGAGGGCCACAAUUAUUUGUAUUAUCUAAUAUGGAACACCUCCUCUAAUUAAUGAUCUUAAUUUGCUAGAGCUAAAUGUUAUUGAAAGUUUUACUUGAACUAACUAAGGGAUCACAUGAGAAAAGACUAAUUAUUUUAAGUAAAGGGACCAGCCCAGCACAAAACGGACCAAAGGCCCAACUGAUAAAGCCUAGUUCGAAUAGCCAUUGAUGUAGGCUUAAUAUGUGAAAAUACUAGGCUCCAGAUGAAGCCUAGCUCACCGGUGUGAUAUCCAAAGAGCUAUGGUUGGAUUUGGGCCAAUGAUGACGGCCUAACACAUGCUUCAACAGAUAUAUUUGGGGCCAUGAUGAAUUAUAAUUUAAGAUAAAGUAUAAUUAAAACUUAAAUAAAUUAGUAGGAACACACCACGGGAAUUAGCUAGGAAACUUUAUACAUUAUUCAACAUUAACCACAUUGAGAAUUCAAAACCACAGUUUGACUGCAGAAAAUGCCAAAGUGACAAGGAUCCCUGCUAUUUUUAUCACAUGCUAUCUGAAUUUUGGCAAUCUACCUUGCUGAUGAUAACACUAAGUGCAUUCUACGUUUAACCAUUACUACUCAAAUUACCUACUGGGCUAUAGACCUCCCAACAACAAACUUCAACGAGCAACUCAAGUCGUCAAAUCCAAACCUCAAUGAAGGAUGCAAAAUUUAAAUUACAAUAUAUGUUAACAACAACACCUAUCACAUCCCAUCAUAACAGUCCCAAUACACAAUUACUUAAAGAGGAGUUUAAUUAGUCUAGAAUCAAAACAACAUGCAAAAUUCAAGCACACAUCUCAAAACUCACUGCAUAUCUGUGACUAAAUACAAUAUUGUUCAGAUAAUUAGUCUAAUCUAAGCAGAGAUACAUAUGAGCAGGUCCUUCAUUAUCAACUACAGGGCUAUCCUUUACAUCCCUCAUGUUCUUAAGCGUUGAAACAUACCUGGAAAUGAAAGUCAAAUGGUGUGAGAUUUAGCACUAGCAACAACACUAUCCAACAACAUAAAUGAACCAGGAAAACAACUUUUAAACCAUAAAGUGAUGCUCAACAGUCAAAAGUUCACAACCAAAACUUCAAAAACCAACUGUUAAAACACCAGCCUCGAAUCAACUCAACCCUGAUAGCUCAUAAACCAUUUCAUGAAUUGGAAAUUGAGGAGAUAAAUGAAACAACGACUCCAACAAAUUUCAAAACCAAGACCCCUUCUAUAGCACCCAAAAUAAACCAAGUUUAAUCCAUUUCAACCUCAAGCUAUUCAGAAAAUUAUUUCAGAAAGUGACGGCUUCAGAAAUCAAAAGAAAACAACUCAAUGAAAUAAUAGAAAAUCUUUCGUUUGGUAUUUUUCUAGAUUUCUAUCCCUGAACCCUCUUGCAAGCCAAGAAUAAGGUACCUUUAUAGGCAAGCAAAUAUGGCAGACCCUAGGAUUUUAACUCUG